CGCAGCCGCGGUAAUUCCAGCUCCAAUAGCGUAUAUUAAAGUUGUUGCAGUUAAAAAGCUCGUAGUUGAAUUUCGGGACUAAUAUGUCGGUCGUACUUUGUACGUACUAGCAUUAUUGGUUUCUCCCUUCUGACGAACCACGAUGUCAUUAAUUUGGUGUCAUGGGAAAUCAGGACUGUUACUUUGAAAAAUUAGAGUGUUUAAAGCAAGCUCGCGCUUGAAUACAUUAGCAUGGAAUAAUGAAAUAGGACGUUUGAUUCUAUUUUGUUGGUUUCUAGGAUCGACGUAAUGAUUAAUAGGGAUAGUUGGGGGCAUUAGUAUUCAAUUGUCAGAGGUGAAAUUCUUGGAUUUAUUGAAGACUAACUACUGCGAAAGCAUUUGCCAAGGAUGUUUUCAUUAAUCAAGAACGAAAGUUAGGGGAUCGAAGACGAUCAGAUACCGUCGUAGUCUUAACCAUAAACUAUGCCGACUAGGGAUCGGAUGAUGUUAAUUUUUAAUGACUCAUUCGGCGCCUUAAC
This 518-nucleotide ribosomal RNA is filed under the name uncultured Glomus. RNAcentral's name for it is "SSU rRNA". It matches the Rfam family "Eukaryotic small subunit ribosomal RNA", at positions 569 to 1092 of the family's 1831-position model. The record is from RNAcentral. Lineage: Eukaryota; Fungi; Glomeromycota; Glomeromycetes; Glomerales; Glomeraceae.